GAUGAACGCUGGCGGCGUGCCUAAUACAUGCAAGUCGAGCGAACAGACAAGGAGCUUGCUCCUUUGACGUUAGCGGCGGACGGGUGAGUAACACGUGGGUAACCUACCUAUAAGACUGGGAUAACUUCGGGAAACCGGAGCUAAUACCGGAUAAUAUUUCGAACCGCAUGGUUCGAUAGUGAAAGAUGGUUUUGCUAUCACUUAUAGAUGGACCCGCGCCGUAUUAGCUAGUUGGUAAGGUAACGGCUUACCAAGGCGACGAUACGUAGCCGACCUGAGAGGGUGAUCGGCCACACUGGAACUGAGACACGGUCCAGACUCCUACGGGAGGCAGCAGUAGGGAAUCUUCCGCAAUGGGCGAAAGCCUGACGGAGCAACGCCGCGUGAGUGAUGAAGGUCUUCGGGUCGUAAAACUCUGUUAUUAGGGAAGAACAUACGUGUAAGUAACUAUGCACGUCUUGACGGUACCUAAUCAGAAAGCCACGGCUAACUACGUGCCAGCAGCCGCGGUAAUACGUAGGUGGCAAGCGUUAUCCGGAAUUAUUGGGCGUAAAGCGCGCGUAGGCGGUUUUUUAAGUCUGAUGUGAAAGCCCACGGCUCAACCGUGGAGGGUCAUUGGAAACUGGAAAACUUGAGUGCAGAAGAGGAAAGUGGAAUUCCAUGUGUAGCGGUGAAAUGCGCAGAGAUAUGGAGGAACACCAGUGGCGAAGGCGACUUUCUGGUCUGUAACUGACGCUGAUGUGCGAAAGCGUGGGGAUCAAACAGGAUUAGAUACCCUGGUAGUCCACGCCGUAAACGAUGAGUGCUAAGUGUUAGGGGGUUUCCGCCCCUUAGUGCUGCAGCUAACGCAUUAAGCACUCCGCCUGGGGAGUACGACCGCAAGGUUGAAACUCAAAGGAAUUGACGGGGACCCGCACAAGCGGUGGAGCAUGUGGUUUAAUUCGAAGCAACGCGAAGAACCUUACCAAAUCUUGACAUCCUUUGACAACUCUAGAGAUAGAGCUUUCCCCUUCGGGGGACAAAGUGACAGGUGGUGCAUGGUUGUCGUCAGCUCGUGUCGUGAGAUGUUGGGUUAAGUCCCGCAACGAGCGCAACCCUUAAGCUUAGUUGCCAUCAUUAAGUUGGGCACUCUAAGUUGACUGCCGGUGACAAACCGGAGGAAGGUGGGGAUGACGUCAAAUCAUCAUGCCCCUUAUGAUUUGGGCUACACACGUGCUACAAUGGACAAUACAAAGGGCAGCGAAACCGCGAGGUCAAGCAAAUCCCAUAAAGUUGUUCUCAGUUCGGAUUGUAGUCUGCAACUCGACUACAUGAAGCUGGAAUCGCUAGUAAUCGUAGAUCAGCAUGCUACGGUGAAUACGUUCCCGGGUCU
RNAcentral lists this ribosomal RNA (1372 nucleotides) under uncultured bacterium. Its description in RNAcentral is "bacterial SSU rRNA". It matches the Rfam family "Bacterial small subunit ribosomal RNA", at positions 28 to 1381 of the family's 1533-position model. The record is from RNAcentral.